This 466-nucleotide ribosomal RNA is filed under the name uncultured Bacillus sp. RNAcentral's name for it is "bacterial SSU rRNA". It matches the Rfam family "Bacterial small subunit ribosomal RNA", at positions 34 to 501 of the family's 1533-position model. Lineage: Bacteria; Bacillati; Bacillota; Bacilli; Caryophanales; Bacillaceae. The record is from RNAcentral.
CGCUGGCGGCGUGCUCAUACAUUCAGUCGAGCGGACACUUCGGUGGUCAGCGGCGGACGGGUGAGUAACACGGCAACCUGCCUGUAAGACUGGGAUAACACCGGGAAACCGGUGCUAAUACCGGAUAAUCCUUUCCUUCACAUGAAGGGAAGCUGAAAGACGGUUUCGGCUGUCACUUACAGAUGGGCCCGCGGCGCAUUAGCUAGUUGGUGAGGUAACGGCUCACCAAGGCAACGAUGCGUAGCCGACCUGAGAGGGUGAUCGGCCACACUGGGACUGAGACACUGCCCAGACUCCUACGGGAGGCAGCAGUAGGGAAUCUUCCGCAAUGGACGAAAGUCUGACGGAGCAACGCCGCGUGAGCGAUGAAGGCCUUCGGGUCGUACAGCUCUGUUGUCAGGGAAGAACAAGUGCCGGAGUAACUGCCGGUACCUUGACGGUACCUGACCAGAAAGCCACGGCUAAC